This 300-nucleotide ribosomal RNA is filed under the name uncultured bacterium. Its description in RNAcentral is "bacterial SSU rRNA". It matches the Rfam family "Bacterial small subunit ribosomal RNA", at positions 114 to 451 of the family's 1533-position model. The record is from RNAcentral.
CACGAGAGAACUUGCCACUUAGUUUUGUUAAAUCAAAAUAACCAAAGAUUGUAUCGCUAAGGUGAUAGGCGUCUUCGUUAGGAGUUAGGUAGUUGGUGGGGUAAAGGCCUACCAAGCCCACCGAUCCUUAGCUCGGUCUGAAGAGGACGAACAGCCACACUGGGACUGAGACACGGCCCAGACUCUUUUAGAGGCAGCAGUACGGAAUAUUGGGACAAUGAGCGAAAGCUUGAUCCAGCAAUACCACGUGGGUGAUGAAAGUUUUUCAACUGUAAAAACCCUUUCGAGUAGAGAUGAUGA